Molecule: non-coding RNA, 24 nt
Filed under: Arabidopsis thaliana (thale cress)
Lineage: Eukaryota; Viridiplantae; Streptophyta; Magnoliopsida; Brassicales; Brassicaceae
Source: RNAcentral
UCUCCUCCUCUCGCUUCCCUUUGC